Molecule: ribosomal RNA, 390 nt
Filed under: uncultured bacterium
Lineage: Bacteria
Description: bacterial SSU rRNA
Rfam family: Bacterial small subunit ribosomal RNA
Source: RNAcentral
GACGAACGCUGGCGGCGUGCUUAACACAUGCAAGUCGAGCGGUAAGGCCCUUUCGGGGGUACACGAGCGGCGAACGGGUGAGUAACACGUGGGUGACCUGCCCUCAGCUCUGGGAUAAGCCUGGGAAACCGGGUCUAAUACCGGAUAUGACUCCAUGACGCAUGUUGUGGGGUGGAAAGCCUUGUGCGGCUGAGGAUGGGCCCGCGGCCUAUCAGCUUGUUGGUGGGGUGAUGGCCUACCAAGGCGACGACGGGUAGCCGGCCUGAGAGGGCGACCGGCCACACUGGGACUGAGACACGGCCCAGACUCCUACGGGAGGCAGCAGUGGGGAAUCUUGCGCAAUGGGCGAAAGCCUGACGCAGCGACGCCGCGUGAGGGAUGACGGCUUUC